This is a long non-coding RNA of Oreochromis aureus, 410 nucleotides long. RefSeq lists it as uncharacterized. The record is from RefSeq and is a predicted model, not a curated record. Lineage: Eukaryota; Metazoa; Chordata; Actinopteri; Cichliformes; Cichlidae. The transcript is spliced from 3 exons.
GUAACAUGUGAGUUACGAAUGCUGUUCUCAGUUUAGCUCUAGGGCACAGGGUCACUUUUCUCAGUUAUAAGCUCAGGUGUACCAAAGUGAAUAUCCCAACAAGUUAUGAGCAUAACUGCGAGGAACUAAUUCCACAUGUUCUUAUCUUUCCUAGUCUACAGGCGUGGCUGCAGUGAAUACAACAACAGAGAGGGAUCGCAUAACAAACGUUACAAAGCGUGGGUUGCCAGCUGCAAAGCUUUUCUGGAUGCUGAUUGGAACUGUCUCUCCGCUCCCUUCGUGGAAAAAUAACUUAACAUGAGUUGUUUGGUAUUUUCACCGCACCCCACACUACCAUCUCACAUCGACUGCUAAGAGCUUGUAUGCUGAAAUCUCCCUCUGAGGCCUAAUACUGGAAAAGUGUCUUUCAA